This 467-nucleotide ribosomal RNA is filed under the name uncultured bacterium. RNAcentral's name for it is "partial 16S ribosomal RNA". It matches the Rfam family "Bacterial small subunit ribosomal RNA", at positions 28 to 507 of the family's 1533-position model. The record is from RNAcentral.
GAUGAACGCUGGCGGCGUGCUUAACACAUGCAAGUCGAACGGAAAGGCCUCUGCUUGCAGGGGUACUCGAGUGGCGAACGGGUGAGUAACACGUGGGUGAUCUGCCCUGCACUUCGGGAUAAGCCUGGGAAACUGGGUCUAAUACCGGAUAGGACAAUGGUUUGGAUGCUGUUGUGGAAAGUUUUUCGGUGUGGGAUGAGCUCGCGGCCUAUCAGCUUGUUGGUGGGGUAAUGGCCUACCAAGGCGUCGACGGGUAGCCGGCCUGAGAGGGUGUACGGCCACAUUGGGGCUGAGAUACGGCCCAGACUCCUACGGGGGGCAGCAGUGGGGGAUAUUGCGCAAUGGGGGCAAGCCUGAUGCAGCGACGCCGCGUGGGGGAGGACGGCCUUCGGGUUGUAAACUCCUUUCGCUAGGGACGAAGCGUUUUUGUGACGGUACCUGGAGAAGAAGCACCGGCUAACUACGUG